GAUGAACGCUGGCGGCGUGCCUAAUACAUGCAAGUCGAGCGAACAGACGAGGAGCUUGCUCCUCUGACGUUAGCGGCGGACGGGUGAGUAACACGUGGAUAACCUACCUAUAAGACUGGGAUAACUUCGGGAAACCGGAGCUAAUACCGGAUAAUAUAUUGAACCGCAUGGUUCAAUAGUGAAAGACGGUUUUGCUGUCACUUAUAGAUGGAUCCGCGCCGCAUUAGCUAGUUGGUAAGGUAACGGCUUACCAAGGUAACGAUGCGUAGCCGACCUGAGAGGGUGAUCGGUCACACUGGAACUGAGACACGGUCCAGACUCCUACGGGAGGCAGCAGUAGGGAAUCUUCCGCAAUGGGCGAAAGCCUGACGGAGCAACGCCGCGUGAGUGAUGAAGGUCUUCGGAUCGUAAAACUCUGUUAUUAGGGAAGAACAAAUGUGUAAGUAACUAUGCACGUCUUGACGGUACCCAAUCAGAAAGCCACGGCUAACUACGUG
RNAcentral lists this ribosomal RNA (497 nucleotides) under uncultured bacterium. Its description in RNAcentral is "partial 16S ribosomal RNA". It matches the Rfam family "Bacterial small subunit ribosomal RNA", at positions 28 to 507 of the family's 1533-position model. The record is from RNAcentral.